RNAcentral lists this ribosomal RNA (506 nucleotides) under Rhopalomyia ptarmicae. RNAcentral's name for it is "partial large subunit ribosomal RNA". The stretch from base 336 to 495 matches the Rfam family "Bacterial large subunit ribosomal RNA", at positions 2473 to 2632 of the family's 2925-position model. Lineage: Eukaryota; Metazoa; Arthropoda; Insecta; Diptera; Cecidomyiidae. The record is from RNAcentral.
AAAGGCCGCAGUAUUUUGACUGUGCUAAGGUAGCAUAAUCAUUAGAUUUUUAAUUGGGAUCUAGUUUGAAUGGUUUAAUGAAAUAAAUACUUUUUUAUUAUAAUUAAUUUAAAUUUAUUUUUAAGUAAAAAAGCUUAAAUAUUUUAAAGGGACGAGAAGACCCUAUAGAAUUUUAAAUAUAUUAUUUAAAUUAUAUAAAUUUAUAAUUUUUAUUUGAUUUAAUAAUAAUUUUUUAUUGGGGUGAUAAUUAAAUUUUAUAAACUUUUUAUUUAUAAUUCAUUAAUAAUUGUUUUUAUGAUCCAUUUUUUAUGAUUAAAAAAAUAAAUUACCUUAGGGAUAACAGCAUAAUAUUAUUAAGAAGUACAUAUUUUUAAUAUUGUUUAUGACCUCGAUGUUGGAUUAAAUUAAAUAUUUAUAUGAAGAUAUAUAAAUUAUAAGUCUGUUCGACUUUUAAUUAUUUACAUGAUCUGAGUUCAAACCGGUGUAAGCCAGGUCGGUUUCUAUCU